RNAcentral lists this ribosomal RNA (253 nucleotides) under uncultured bacterium. RNAcentral's name for it is "partial 16S ribosomal RNA". It matches the Rfam family "Bacterial small subunit ribosomal RNA", at positions 524 to 776 of the family's 1533-position model. The record is from RNAcentral.
UACAGAGGGUGCAAGCGUUGUCCGGAAUUAUUGGGCGUAAAGAGCUCGUAGGCGGUCUGUCGCGUCGGCUGUGAAAACCCGGAGCUCAACUCCGGGCCUGCAGUCGAUACGGGCAGACUGGAGUUCGGCAGGGGAGACUGGAAUUCCUGGUGUAGCGGUGAAAUGCGCAGAUAUCAGGAGGAACACCGGUGGCGAAGGCGGGUCUCUGGGCCGAUACUGACGCUGAGGAGCGAAAGCGUGGGGAGCGAACAGG